Salvelinus namaycush (lake trout) is the source of this 440-nucleotide long non-coding RNA. RefSeq lists it as uncharacterized. Lineage: Eukaryota; Metazoa; Chordata; Actinopteri; Salmoniformes; Salmonidae. The transcript is spliced from 3 exons. The record is from RefSeq and is a predicted model, not a curated record.
CCCCAGCUCCCAGCUGUAGCUGUCCCCGUUUUUAACUGUGUGUUAAAAACAGACCGCAAUGUGAAAUAAUACUUUACAUAACAAGAAAGAUCAGGCAGCAGAUGCUACUGGUUGACGUCUCAAUCGCGUUGUGCUUGUUUUGUCGAGCAGAGGGGGCUGCUCGCUAUAGCAGCUUCAUUCACUCUUCUUCUACUAACUACUUGCUCGAGCUAGUUUUAGAGAGAACUGCUGUGGAAACUCGGCCAGAAGCUAGUAAGUGUCAAAGUGAAUCCACAACAUCACCACAAACGUCUUUUCAAGCCAGAGUGGAGAUGAAGGAGAAGACUGGAUGAAUGAAUGAGAUAGAGGAAAGAUUGGAGAGGAAGGAGAAGGAAAAAUGAAGGGCGUAAAAAAAGUGAAGCGAGGAGAGUAGAAGAGUGAGGUGGAAAGGUGAAGGAAAG